UUUUUUUUUGGUGUGAGCCUACAACAUUGUGACAAGAAGAUGAAAGAACAGUGAUGAUAUCAGAAGAGUUCAAAUUACACUGAGAUCGUUAUAAUUUCAAAGCAUUUCAUCUUUUGCUCCACAUUCUGCAAAUCUGUGGAAGAUCGCUGGAAGCUUUAUUGUCAUCACAUAAAUUUCACUGUGGCUGUUGAUAGUUUAUGACCUUCUAAACACCAUGAAAGCAUCAUAAACAUUGUGUUGUGUAUAUACACUGAAAAUGACUGAGAAGGAUCGCAUACUUCAUCAUUCAGUCCCUGAGGCAGCUGGAAAUUGUACAGUCUGAAGAAAAAGUCUGGGAGUAUAGAAAGAAAUGAAUCUCCAUCUAUCUACAAGAAUGUCAUUUUUCAUAGUCUUCACUACAAAUCACUCCUGUGUGGAAUCCUGAAAGGGCUCAGCAGUGCCAAAUGUUUGUGUUUUGAGGUUUUUUUUUUUCAUGUUGGUUUUGAGACUAAGGAGGACAAAUCGAUAAUCUUAAUGAAACAUUUGAUAACUUUG
Tympanuchus pallidicinctus (lesser prairie-chicken) is the source of this 534-nucleotide long non-coding RNA. RefSeq lists it as uncharacterized. Lineage: Eukaryota; Metazoa; Chordata; Aves; Galliformes; Phasianidae. The transcript is spliced from 4 exons. The record is from RefSeq and is a predicted model, not a curated record.